CCCAGCGCCCCCCCACUUCUUAUGGAUGAAAACCUUAAGAGCAUUUUUUGGAACGUCAGAGGCCUAAACUCUCUUGCUAAACGUUCUACACUCCGUAGCGUUAUUUCCUCGGCUGCCCCUUGCAUUGUCUGUCUCCAGGAAACCAAACUUGCUAGCAUGUCUGACUCCCUGGUGUUGGAAACCCUGGGCGCCCCCUUCCUCGACUUCUUUUUCCGUGCUGCCGAUGGCACUCGCGGAGGCAUCCUGCUUGCUUGGCGCUGCGACAUGAUCUCACUUUCCAGGCCAACCAUUGGUGACCAUCACGUCUCUGCCCUUGUCUCCCCCCUUGUCGGGGAUCAGCAUUGGUGGCUGACUGGUGUCUACAGCCCGCAGGGUGAUGAAGAGAAAAUCACCUUUCUUGGCGAGUUGCAAGAGUUUCGAGACACGUGUGCCGGCCCUUGGCUCGUUGGAGGCGACUUCAACAUGAUCACCUCCGCUGCCGACAAGAACAACAACAGGCUCAACCACCGCACCAUGAGUCGUUUUCGCCGCUUCAUCGCCGACCUUGAGCUUCGCGGCAUCUACCUCCACGGCCGCCGCUAUACUUGGUCCAACGAGCAGGAGAACCCCACCCUCGUCCACAAUGAUCGCAUGCUCUGCAGCUCAAGCUGGGAUGUUGCACAGCCUUAG
Molecule: ribosomal RNA, 669 nt
Filed under: Triticum aestivum (bread wheat)
Lineage: Eukaryota; Viridiplantae; Streptophyta; Magnoliopsida; Poales; Poaceae
Description: partial small subunit ribosomal RNA
Source: RNAcentral